RNA transcript from Onychomys torridus (southern grasshopper mouse), 1680 nucleotides. It is a transcript of the gene named transmembrane protein 17, with no coding region annotated. The transcript is spliced from 5 exons. The record is from RefSeq and is a predicted model, not a curated record. NCBI's taxonomy places the organism in Eukaryota, Metazoa, Chordata, Mammalia, Rodentia, Cricetidae.
UGUUCUUCAUUUCCCUCUAGAAAUGGCGCACCAAUUCACUAACUAAGCGGCAUGGUGUGAGAGCUCCUUGUGGCUCAGCCCAGGCCUGAAUGGCUUAUUAUUCGUGAUCAUUUUAAAGCGUCACGGCUCAAAAUGGGACUAAGGAUCCUGGCAUUCCCGGCACCACGAGGUCACGCUCGGCUGCAGACCCAGUUGCCCCUGCUCGCCUCUCCAAAGGGAAGCCUCUGCAAGGUCCUGGACCGCGCUGGGCAGCCCCAGCACCACGUCCCUAGCGGCAGGCGCAGCCCCGUUGCCCGGGGAACCGCAGCACGCCGCUGCGUUCGCCGAUUAGCGGGUGUGUGAGUGGCGAGGCCUGGCAGGCCAGGCAUGGAGCUGCCGGACCCUGUUCGCCAGCGCCUGGGCAACUUCAGCCUCACGGUGUUCGGCGACUCCAGCCGCACCGGGCCGGAGUCCUGCGAGGCCACGGAUAAUGAGAUGGUCUCCAGCUUGCCAUUGCAGAUGUCACUGUAUUUCAACUCUUACUUUUUCCCACUGUGGUGGGUGAGCUGCAUUGUGAUGCUUCACCUGAAGUAUUCGGUCUUGCCCGAUUACUACAAAUUCAUUGUGAUCACUGUCAUUGUCCUCAUAACCUUGAUGGAAGCGAUCCGGCUGUACCUGGGCUGCAUGGGGAACCUGCAGGAGAAGGUUCCUGAGUUGGCUGGCUUCUGGCUCUUGAGCCUUCUACUGCAGUUGCCGUUAAUCCUUUUCUUGCUCCUCAAUGAAGGCCUGAGAAACCUGCCUUUGGAAAAAGCAGUACAUAUCAUCUUCGCUGUCUUCCUUACUUUCCAAGUCAUCUCAGUGUUUCUGACCCUGAAGAAAAUGGUCAGUCAGCUGGCGGCCCGUUUCCACCUCCAGGACUUUGAUCGGCUGUCUGCAAACAGUGCCAUCAUGAGGAGGAGGAGGCCGUGUACAGAAGAGCUCUGACCAGUGCUGAAGAGUUGAUGUCUGCAAGAUAAGUCAGGAAGACUGAGAGAGUGACAGAACACCUGAGAUCAGGCUGGGGAAGGGCACAGGUGAAAAAUCAGUUUGGGGCCAAUGUACUCUCACCAGGUGUGUCAGCACACUCCAGGACAUGCCCACACCCAGAAGUAGUUGGCCAACACAAAACAAACUCAGUGGUAUUUCGGUGGACUUUUUGUUUCGUUUUGCUUUUUUUUUUUUUUCUUUUGUCUUAUUGUUAGGGGACAGGAAGUUGGGGAGGAAUUGGGAAAGAGGGAAAAAAAAAACAUGCAAAAUGUAUGGUACCAAGAAAAAAUUAAUAAAAAAAGAAUGUGUAACACCCCCUUUAAACGUUCAGUUAUCUAGUGGGCUCUUCUGAGUUUCUUGGAGCACAUGGAAACGCUUGCUCAUCAACAUGCUCAUGCAGUAGAAGGUAUUUUUAAAGGAGACAAAAUUCUGGGUGUGCUGGUCAAUUCCCAGUCUCUUCCCAGUUGCUGUCCUGAGGUGAGGGAGGUGGGUGUGCUGUGGUAUUUAUAGAGUUUAUCCUGAGGUGAAGGAGGCGACAUAUUAUAGUAUUUAAGGAAUAUUUUGUCAUAAAACCAUGUUCAGUAUUUGUGAUGGAGGUAUAGACUUUUUUUUUUACCAUAAAUCAUAAGGUAUUUAUAUUAAAAUAUCAGUAAUGCAUCCUUGCCUUGUGCAGUU